CAGAUUAGACUAAUAAAUGCAUACCUAUCUUUUUUCAAUGCGUGCACUUAAUCUUUGUACAGUGGGUCGUGAAUGUGUUAGCAUUUAGCCUAGCCCCAUUCAUUCCUUAGGAUCCUAAUAGGGAUGAAUUUAGAAGCUACCAAACACUUCCAUAUUUUCCCUAUUUAAAGACUGUUACAUGAGUAGUUACACGAAAAAGUAUGGAGGCAUAAAUAAAAUGCGGAUAAAAAAUGGGAACUAUAUUCUAUGGCAGAAGAGCAUCUAGUUUGCGGCACUUCGAUCUUGGGAGCAGUAAUAUUAACAAAAGUUUGAGCGAGAGGGGGAGGAGUCAGGAGUGAUGAUGUUACUGCGCGCCGAUGUCGAAGUGCUGCAAACUAAUUAACUAAUAUUGUGAUUAAGCGCAGUGUGAAAGCCUUUAUGAGAUCAUUUUUAUGUCAUGUAUUGACCUCUACCUAAUAUUUGUGUAUUGUAUUUGUGUUUUAGAUUCAGUCGUCAGCUGGUCAGAUCAAGUAUGCUGGACCUGUUGACUGUGCACUCAAAUUAUAUAAGCAACAGGGAAUAUGCAGUGUUUACAAGGGCACUGUACUGACUCUAAUCAGAGAUGUGCCUUCAAAUGGUUUAUACUUUCUUACAUACGAGUACCUUAAAAAAGCUCUGACCACUGAAGGACAGAGUGUUUCUCAGCUGAGCACAUGGAGAGUUCUUCUGGCAGGUGGGGUCGCUGGAGUUUUAAACUGGCUGGUUGCAUUGCCUGCAGAUGUGCUGAAGUCAAAGUACCAAACAGGUAUGAAACACAGGCUGUGUCCGAAAUAGCCCCCU
Molecule: non-coding RNA, 819 nt
Organism: Paramisgurnus dabryanus
Lineage: Eukaryota; Metazoa; Chordata; Actinopteri; Cypriniformes; Cobitidae
Source: RefSeq, a predicted model, not a curated record